This 106-nucleotide transfer RNA is filed under the name Rhodocollybia butyracea. Its description in RNAcentral is "tRNA-Tyr". The record is from RNAcentral. Lineage: Eukaryota; Fungi; Basidiomycota; Agaricomycetes; Agaricales; Omphalotaceae.
GUCACACUUAGCUCAGUGGUAGAGUGUUGCAGGAUAAUAAAGGACGGCGAAAGUUAAUACAAUGCAUUCAAUGCAAAGGUCAGCCGUUCAAUUCGGCUAGGAGGCA